This is a long non-coding RNA of Actinia tenebrosa (Australian red waratah sea anemone), 292 nucleotides long. Lineage: Eukaryota; Metazoa; Cnidaria; Anthozoa; Actiniaria; Actiniidae. The record is from RefSeq and is a predicted model, not a curated record.
AUUUUUUCUUACCUUCCUGUGUCUGCGGUUCUCCCAUCAAGAUUUCAACAGUUUUAACGACUUCUUUCGCACAAGGCUCCCCUGCAUUUUCUUCUUUAUCAGGUGUUUCAUUGGACAAUGCUGUGAAAUUCAACUGGACCACUGGUAUUUGACCUGCGUAAAAGAGGGUCUUCAAACGCUUGUACACGCGAACACUCGUCGUCCAAACACUUCUUGUUUUUCUCCAACAUUGAACGAAAACUAGUUUGGUCCAAGUCAAAUUUUUGACAGGUAGGAAAUCCGGUUGGAGCUG